RNAcentral lists this transfer RNA (74 nucleotides) under Candidatus Omnitrophota bacterium. RNAcentral's name for it is "Candidatus Omnitrophica bacterium tRNA-Gln". It matches the Rfam family "tRNA". Rfam says of the family: Transfer RNA (tRNA) molecules are approximately 80 nucleotides in length. Their secondary structure includes four short double-helical elements and three loops (D, anti-codon, and T loops). Lineage: Bacteria; Pseudomonadati; Candidatus Omnitrophota. The record is from RNAcentral.
UGGGAUGUCGUCCAAUGGUAGGACUCCAGAAUUUGGGUCUGGCUAUCAUGGUUCGAAUCCAUGCGUCCCAACCA